This 293-nucleotide ribosomal RNA is filed under the name uncultured eukaryote. Its description in RNAcentral is "partial 18S ribosomal RNA". It matches the Rfam family "Eukaryotic small subunit ribosomal RNA", at positions 6 to 497 of the family's 1831-position model. The record is from RNAcentral.
GGUUGAUCCUGCCAGUAGUCAUAUGCUUGUUUUAAAGAUUAAGCCAUGCAUGUGUAAGUAUAGAGCAUUCUAGCUUGAAACUGCGAACGGCUCAUUAAAUCAGUUAUAAUCUACUUGAUUGUAUUUUUACUAUUAGGAUACCCUUAGUAAUUCUAUGGCUAAUACUUGCAAAAACUCAUGACUAGAAAUGGAAAUGAGGUAUUUAUUAGGUCCAAGGAAGGCAGCAGGCGCGCAAAUUACUCAAUCCCGAUUAGGGGAAGUAGUGACAAGAAAUAUGAUUGUAGAAUCCAAUA